ACUAUUCAUAAUCAGUAUUACUACUGUUGCAUCACUUAUCAUUUAUCAUUAUCAUUUCAUCAAAGCAUUUCAUAAUCACAUGAUAAUCUUUCAUUGCAGGUGCAACUGUAUUCAUGUUAUACACAUUGCAUUUUUGUGCUAAUUAAAGAGUUGAAGCUCGGUCAAGUUAAUUAGUGGUUUGAAGCUACGGGCAGCGCGAGGUCUGGCCGAUCUAUGGAGUAAGUUAAGGUGACCCGAGCUAUGACAGAAUUGCAUACAUGCUUACAAUAUAUCACGCACAACUUAGAAACUGAAUAGAGGCCUGUGUGUUCAGCAACCGGCUGCAGUGGAGUUCUGCCUGGUAACAGAUGACUCAGAGUAAGGUCAUGCACUGAGGCUAAGACACAUGGGCUGCCUGAACACACAUACACAGUGUCUAGACUUGUUUUGCUUGAAACUGCGAAGUUGUUUUACCUGCAUACGUGACAGUUCAGUUCCACAAAUAAGUGUAAUAGGUAAAAUAACAGGAAACAUCUAGUGGAGGAACAGAGGAAGGAACUGUUCUUUUUUUAGAAGAUGUUCAAGGUUGGAAUGACUGGAACAUGCAUGUUUUUUAUCUGCUGUGACGCAUAUUACUUGUCAUCAUAUGUUAUAUAUAUCACACCCCAUUUAUUGUUCUGGGAAGAUCGAUGCUUUUUGGGUGAUCGUGCUCGACUUCCCACGUAAUCAGGACAGUUUUGGUGCCGAAACCCGGUUUGAGGAGGGAUUUGGUUGGCUGAGGUCCGGCAGGUGCGGUCAAACAGACGGACGGGAGCCCAGCAGGUCGACUGAGUGACGUGCCAGGCAAGAUAGAAAGAACAGGAACAUGACCUUGCAUCGCACCAGGAUAUCCUUGGGAAGCUGAAGUCCGUUCCUCUUGGUUCAUGGCCGCAGCUUGUCAACAACUAUUUUUGUUUAAAGUGUUCAAAUUUGGCCACGAUCAGUCUGGGUCUCCAUGCAGCUGGAUGUUUGCCUCCCAGAUGGUGAGUGUUAGGUGGGUUUGGGUGAAUUCUCUCACUAUUGUGAUCUUCUUCUGCCUUCUCUGGCAUACCUGAGAACACCAAGUUGUCCCUCAUGCUGUUGGCCCGGAGCUCGAUGACAGUACCUCUAUCUAAAUUCUGUACAUUAAUAAAUCAUGUUCAUUUCUUUCUAAUGAUCUCCCUUUAUUGAAUAUUUUGUAUUAAUUAAUUUAGUUUAGUCAGUUACUGUUCUUACUGUGUUGGAGCAACUGUGACCAUCAUUUCCUCAAUGAUUAUAGUAUUCUGAUUCUGAUUCUGAAAAGAAAACUACAUGCCGGCCGUUAACAAAUGAAUGCCAUGUUAAUUUAAAUGUAGCUCAUUCAUUCUGAAAGUUCUCAAACACAGUUAUAAUCAAACGUUGUUAGUUUGGACUGUUGUCAGACGAUGCAUGUAGGUGCAAAUGACACUAUCACCAUCACUGGUGAUUUAAACCAUACCAGUCUGGACUGCUCUGCAAACUUUCCAGCAGUACUGUGGACUGCAAAACCGUCCAUAUACUUUUGAACUUUCAGUUUAGAAACAUGGAGGAUGCAUGCAGAGCCACUGACCUUAAUGACUUCACAUCACGUGUCAUAAAGUUGCUGGAGAGACUGGUUCUUAGCCCGCUUGGCUUGCAGGUGAAACAUGCUCUCGACCAUGUUUAGUUUGUUUGCCAGCCAGUUUUCUUAGAGGGGUUGAUGCUGUUAUCUAUACGUCAUGGUGUGUUCACUUUCACCUGGUAUUGGUGGCACUGUGAUGUUUGUUAAUUUUUUCACUGCCUUUAAUAUCAUCCACCCACUUCUGCUAAGUAAGAAGCUGCUCAGGAUGGGUGUCACCACCUCUAAUGUCUCUCGGAUUUCUGACUAUCUGUCAGAGAGGCCUCAGUUUGGGUGGCUGGGGCACCUGGUUUGAUGUGGUGGUUAAUAAUACUGGUGCAUCACAGGGACCGGUCUAAUCUCCAUUCCUGUUUAAAUGGUAAAUGGUGCUUUUAUAAUAGCGCUUUUCUACUCUGAGUGCUUUGAAU
Molecule: long non-coding RNA, 2040 nt
Organism: Oreochromis niloticus (Nile tilapia)
Lineage: Eukaryota; Metazoa; Chordata; Actinopteri; Cichliformes; Cichlidae
Exons: 3
Source: RefSeq, a predicted model, not a curated record